Molecule: ribosomal RNA, 521 nt
Filed under: uncultured Gammaproteobacteria bacterium
Lineage: Bacteria; Pseudomonadati; Pseudomonadota; Gammaproteobacteria
Description: bacterial SSU rRNA
Rfam family: Bacterial small subunit ribosomal RNA
Source: RNAcentral
AUCAUGGCUCAGAUUGAACGCUGGCGGCAUGCCUAACACAUGCAAGUCGAACGGUAACGCGGAGAGCUUGCUCUCUGGCGACGAGUGGCGGACGGGUGAGUAAUACUUAGGAAUCUGCCCAUUAGUGGGGGACAACUCGGGGAAACUCGAGCUAAUACCGCAUACGCCCUACGGGGGAAAGCGGAGGACUCUUCGGAGCUUCGCGCUAAUGGAUGAGCCUAAGUCGGAUUAGCUUGUUGGUGGGGUAAAGGCCUACCAAGGCGACGAUCCGUAGCUGGUCUGAGAGGACGAUCAGCCACACUGGGACUGAGACACGGCCCAGACUCCUACGGGAGGCAGCAGUGGGGAAUAUUGGACAAUGGGGGCAACCCUGAUCCAGCAAUGCCGCGUGUGUGAAGAAGGCCUGCGGGUUGUAAAGCACUUUCAGUAGAGAAGAAAAGCCUGGCGUUAAUACCGCCGGGUCUUGACGUAACCUACAGAAGAAGCACCGGCUAACUCCGUGCCAGCCGCCGCGGUAAUUC